Molecule: ribosomal RNA, 537 nt
Filed under: uncultured Rhodoferax sp.
Lineage: Bacteria; Pseudomonadati; Pseudomonadota; Betaproteobacteria; Burkholderiales; Comamonadaceae
Description: bacterial SSU rRNA
Rfam family: Bacterial small subunit ribosomal RNA
Source: RNAcentral
AGAGUUUGAUCAUGGCUCAGAUUGAACGCUGGCGGCAUGCCUUACACAUGCAAGUCGAACGGCAGCACGGGAGCAAUCCUGGUGGCGAGUGGCGAACGGGUGAGUAAUAUAUCGGAACGUGCCCAGUCGUGGGGGAUAACGUAGCGAAAGCUACGCUAAUACCGCAUACGAUCUACGGAUGAAAGCGGGGGAUCGCAAGACCUCGCGCGAUUGGAGCGGCCGAUAUCAGAUUAGCUAGUUGGUGGGGUAAAAGCCCACCAAGGCGACGAUCUGUAGCUGGUCUGAGAGGACGACCAGCCACACUGGAACUGAGACACGGUCCAGACUCCUACGGGAGGCAGCAGUGGGGAAUUUUGGACAAUGGGCGCAAGCCUGAUCCAGCAAUGCCGCGUGCAGGAUGAAGGCCUUCGGGUUGUAAACUGCUUUUGUACGGAACGAAACGGUUCGCUUUAAUACAGUGGGCUAAUGACGGUACCGUAAGAAUAAGCACCGGCUAACUACGUGCCAGCAGCCGCGGUAAUACGUAGGGUGCGAGCG